This 465-nucleotide ribosomal RNA is filed under the name Vreelandella stevensii. Its description in RNAcentral is "partial 16S ribosomal RNA". It matches the Rfam family "Bacterial small subunit ribosomal RNA", at positions 338 to 795 of the family's 1533-position model. Lineage: Bacteria; Pseudomonadati; Pseudomonadota; Gammaproteobacteria; Oceanospirillales; Halomonadaceae. The record is from RNAcentral.
CCUACGGGGUGCAGCAGUGGGGAAUAUUGGACAAUGGGCGAAAGCCUGAUCCAGCCAUGCCGCGUGUGUGAAGAAGGCCUUCGGGUUGUAAAGCACUUUCAGUGGGGAAGAAAGCCUUGGGGCUAAUACCCUCGAGGAAGGACAUCACCCACAGAAGAAGCACCGGCUAACUCCGUGCCAGCAGCCGCGGUAAUACGGAGGGUGCGAGCGUUAAUCGGAAUUACUGGGCGUAAAGCGCGCGUAGGCGGUCUGAUAAGCCGGUUGUGAAAGCCCCGGGCUCAACCUGGGAACGGCAUCCGGAACUGUCAGGCUAGAGUGCAGGAGAGGAAGGUAGAAUUCCCGGUGUAGCGGUGAAAUGCGUAGAGAUCGGGAGGAAUAUCAGUGGCGAAGGCGGCCUUCUGGACUGACACUGACGCUGAGGUGCGAAAGCGUGGGUAGCAAACAGGAUUAGAUACCCGAGUAGUC